GUGAUCCACCAGCCUCGGCCUCACAAAGUGCUGGGAUUACAGGUAUGAGCCACCACGCCCAGCCUGCAAACAUAUGUUGAACUCUUUGCACAGUGCCCUGCAUGAGAUAGAUGACAGCUCCUUCUUCCAUGUUGUUAAUUUGGUGUGAGUAUAUGUUAUAUGUAUGUAUAUGCAAGAUAAUAAUCUUCUUGUAACCACUGACAGGCCUUUUUGUGAAUGAUGAUGGAAAAAGCAAGAACCUUGUCCAGGUUCCUCUCCAGGGAGCAGGGGUGGGUUGUGAUUCUUGAUUUCAUUCCUUUAGAUAUGAAGAGUUUUCACACAGAGGCAGCACGAAUUUGUCUCUCUCCUAGAGGGUGGGGAGAGUUGCUGGGUGGAUAUAACUGCAUCACAGCCUUUCUGGGUAAACUGGCCACUCCCUACUGAUUUGUUAUCAUGCUAAAUGUGUCUCCUCCCUUCCUUUCUGGAGCUUUUGCAGCUGUUCCUGGAAGGAGACCCAGUUGAAAGGGGUUGUUAUGGACCAGGAACAGCUGGGAUCUUUAAUGAUCUGUGAGCAGCUUACAGCAAAGUUCCAACACCCUGAGUAUCAGUCCCCAAAUCCUUGGUCUUUGCAUUCCAACACAAAGUAAAAAGGAUUGAGCAGGGUUUUGGUUUUGGUUGCAAGUAACAGAAACCCAACGCUAAUUAAUAAACGGGAAAGUGUGUCAGUGGAAAUCUCCACAAGUCCGACGGAAAGAGAAAACUGCUUUCCCAAAGGGUGUAAGAGGAUGAAAGGCAUGUCAUCAGCUGAAUUGCAUCAGGUGUCCAUCUUGGAAUCAAUCACGGUGCCUCUUAUUAGCAAAGCCUGAGUCAUAGGUGAGUCUAUACUUGGAUGGGGUAGUAAGGAAAUCCCAUGUUGAUUGCAUGGAUGGAAAGUGGGGGUGUUGUGGUUUCAUAAUGGCUUAUUAGGGUUCAAUAAUCAGAACACCAAAUAAUCCAUGCUGGGAGGUAAAAAUUGCAGAUAUUUUACUUUAUGCCCCAAACUAGACUUCAAAUCUGUGCUGCUCUUCCAAUCAUGAAUCCGCAGAACAGAGGAUAGAAAGUUCAGGUCAAUUCAAAUUUGACAAACACUUUCCGAGCACUUACUAUGUGCCAAUAUCCGUGGGAGGCCCUGGGAAACCAAAGAUGAAUGAAACACAAACUCUGAUGUCAGAGACCUCACAGUCUGGUGUUUAAGACGAUAAUAGUCUGGAUUAGAUUCUGGUGUGAUGAGAUGGAUUGUCUCAUAAAAAACAGAGGGAAGGGAUUAUUUAACUCUGAUGGGUGGCUGGGUGCUGAGAAGACCCUCAGAGGGUGUAACCUUUGAGUCUUAAGGAGGAUUAAGUUUAAAGGGGAUUUUGUUGGAGGAUAAGCAUCAAGGAAAGCAUUCCAGGAAGAGAGACGGGCAUAUGCAAAGGUAUAGUGUUGUGACCUCUGAUUAAAUAUGGAUGAGACAGGACAGGGAAAAACACACUUGUUAGAUUGUGGCAAAUGCCCAUGUGAAGUGAUUAAGUGACUGAAAUUGGGCAGAGGUGGUGUGCUGGUAGAUUCUAAGGUGACCCCAGUGAUCCAUGCCUUGUAAAAUCUUCUCCCCUGUGAGUGCUCCUUGGUGAGCAGGUGAUGUUAUAUUGGGAGAUUGACUAUAAGAAGGGGAGACUAUCUGUGUGGUCCUGGCCUAAUGACAUGAAUCCUUUAAGAGCAGAGCUUUCUCCAGCUGGUAGAAAAAGGGGAAGUAUGAGACUUAAAGGUGGAGGUGGCCCCAUGGAAAAGACCUAAGGGUAGCCUGCGGGAACUGAGAGAAAACCCCAACUGGCAGCCAGCAAGAAAACAGGGACCUUAAUCUUACGACCACAAGGAACUGGACUCUGCUACCAGAAUGAGCUGCAAGGGAGAUUCUUCCUCAGAAGCUUCAGAUAAGAACUCCACCUGGCUGACCUUUGAUUUUGGUUUUGUGAGAACUUUGGCAGAUAACCCAGGCAUGUGUCAUUUCACAUCUGCAUAAAAAGACAUGCUGAAGGAUGUUCCUUGCAGAAUGGUUAUAGAGAAAAAUGGGAAUAACCACGAUAUAAAGUAACAGGAUUUCAACAGUGAAGGAGACCUGAGAAACCAUAAAAUCAAUCUCUCAAAUUGAAGUUGAAAAAAGCAAAUCAUCUCUCACACCCACCCUGAUUGGUAAUAAUUAACUUGGCAAUACUUCAGUUACUCUUUCAUUAAGCAGUUCUCCUAGAUAUCGAAUUUAUGUUAGUUUAUUUAUUGGAUUCAUCCUAAGCAUUCAAGGUACUUUUGAAGGAUAUGAGGCAAACUGUUAGCAUCAUUUAACAUUUAUUGAAUUGUAGCAUCCACAUAACUUAGAGCAGACACAAGACUUAAUGAGAAAAGCAAGACAUUAUUCCUGUUUUAUAGAGAGUAACCAAGGCCAACAGGUAGAAAGAAGACUUGCCCAAAGUCAGACAGAAAAUGUUGAGAGGAGAUUAGGACCCACUUAGGUUAUUUUUGGUAGAUUGCUCUUUUCACUUAUACAUAGCUGAGUUUGCCAGGAAUAAAGAAAAUAUACUGAACAUGAACAGUUAAUUGAGAUGCUUAAGCGUAAACACAUGGAGGGGUGGUAGGUAAGCGCUUGUGUUGACUCAGCCAUCAUUCUGUUUGUGUGUGCCAAUCAGUCUCUGCCAGUUGGUAUCAGUCAUUAUCCAAUGAGAGAAAUGAGAGCUAGGAAAAGGGGAGUGAGCCCCGAUUAUCUUUUAUAAGUAUAUAAAUUGAUGGCUAUGGUAGGAUUUUUCUCAAUGUGGAAACUCGAAGUUCUGUGCCUAAGUUUUAUUUCAAGAAACAUUUUGUUUGUGUCAAUAGAUCCAGAGCCAAUGGGUUCAUUUAAAACUCUCUUUCAUGAUGGCAAUGAAUAAAAGAGGAUCCUAGACCAUCAGAAGAUUUUAGCCUUGGAGCUCCCCACCGUCCUAACACACACAGAUAGAGCUGGCUCCGAACUCUGCUGCUUCCAUGGUCGUGGCUACCUACUACUCUGUUCCUACUUCAUCUUCACUGUGAUUUUUGUCCAUAUGUCAGACUGAAGCAGACUGCUUAGGGCCUUGGGUUGAGGGAGCUUAUAGAACCUUGGGAACCAGGAACCCUUUAGGACCCUGUGAACUACAAGUCUGCUAUUUUAGGAAGUGGAUAAAAUGGCAUUUUGACAGAUCUGGAGGGUCUUGGAUCUACCUUUCAACAUUGGCAUUACUGAUAUUAGAGUACCACCACUCACUAGCUGUGGAGAUGUAGGAAGAUUACUUAACCACUCAGAGCCUUGGUUUCCUCAUUUGUUAUGUGAAGAUGACAAUAUCAGAUGACAGUGAGAUCUGAGAUGAAUUUAACUGCCUUCAGUAGUGCUGGCCUGCUCCUGAGAGAGAGAUGAUUGAGAGGGAGGAAGUAGAGAGGAGGAAGAAGCCUUUACUCACACUCCUUGAGGAGUGAUUCAGGUGGACAGCCUGAAUUACGGGAUUUAUUGGCAGCAAGUAAGUAUUGUCUGAGUGGAUUACUGCAAAAUGCUUUAGCUGGGGAUGGCUUUGAAAACCACUCAUCAAUUACAGAUGGUACCCAGUAUAGCAGCAGGAGUACCCUUGCGGGCUUUUGUUAUCUCCGACCUCUUCCUUCAUGGGUGACCGUUCUAACCCAAAGACCUCAACUGUUCAUCAAAAACCUGCCACUCAGAACUGCAUAUCAAUUAUUAAACAAUGUCCCAUGCAGGACAGUGACUUUAAAUUAUCUUGGAAAUGAUAAAGACCAACAUUUGUCUUUGUUAACAUGCUGAGUGAUUCUGUGGUCUCUAGUCACAGGUGAAAGGAUCAGAUUUGAGAUUUCUAGACACCAGAAUCACAUUAGGGUUAAGCAAAACUCCAUCUUUUCCCAGAGAAAAUUUAGCCAGAAAUGUUGCUUAUUUGAGAUGAGAAGUAAGAUGAAGUGUUCUAACAUGGCGGAGCUUGAUAUGCAAAUGAGCCCAUCUAGGGACAGUAGGGAUUGGUAAUGUGGGUCUGUGGAUGCCUGGAAGGCUCACAGAAAGACUUCAGGAAUUCCUGAGUCUCUUCAAAGUGUAAGCAAAAUUUUGUGUGUAUUUUCUUAUUUGCAUGAUAUGGCUUGGCUGUGUCCCCACCCAAACCUUAUCUCGAAUUGUAACUCCCACAAUUCCCACAUGUCGUGGAAGGAUCCUGGUGGGAUUCAUUAUGGGGGCAGGUCUUUCCAGUGCUGUUCUCAUGAUAGUGAAUGAGUCUCACAAUAUCUGAUGGUUUUAAA
This 4290-nucleotide long non-coding RNA is filed under the name Homo sapiens (human). RNAcentral's name for it is "HSALNT0349299". The record is from RNAcentral. Lineage: Eukaryota; Metazoa; Chordata; Mammalia; Primates; Hominidae.